Molecule: long non-coding RNA, 360 nt
Organism: Ipomoea nil (Japanese morning glory)
Lineage: Eukaryota; Viridiplantae; Streptophyta; Magnoliopsida; Solanales; Convolvulaceae
Exons: 4
Source: RefSeq, a predicted model, not a curated record
GAUUUCCUUAGUGAAGAAGUAAAGAAUUUUCCGAAAAUGUUUUGGCGUGGAAAGGGCGGUAAGGGGUUGGAAAAGGGAGGAGCAAAAUGACACUGUAAGAUCCUCCGGGACAACAUCCAAGGUAUCAUGAAGCCGGCCAUUCGUCGUCUGGCUCGCGGUGGUGGAGUGAAGCGUAUCUCCGGCCUCAAGAUCUUUCUCGAGAACGUGAUCCGCGAUGCUGUUACCUACACCGAACAUGCUCGCCGGAAGACGGUCAUGGCAAUGGACGUUGUGUAUACUCUCAAGAGACAGGGUCGCACUCUGUACGGAUUCGGCGGUUAGGUUUUGAAAUCUUCUAUGUAUAUUUUGUUGGUGUUUCGG